RNAcentral lists this long non-coding RNA (204 nucleotides) under Elaeis guineensis (African oil palm). Its description in RNAcentral is "long non-coding RNA (EGUI_LNC023250)". The record is from RNAcentral. Lineage: Eukaryota; Viridiplantae; Streptophyta; Magnoliopsida; Arecales; Arecaceae.
AUGGUGGAUUCGUAGGAGGGUGAAUCCUUCUUUCGCUUGAAAGAUACAACUCCUAUCCUACACCUCGGUGAAUUCAUGAUGCUUGGACCACGAUUUGAUGUGACACCUGGCACCUGGUUGGCUAUUACUAUCAUGUUGGCCAACCAGUUACGCUUGAUGUGUGGAUCAAGUAACACACGACGUAUUCGUGUGAAAAAUGGGAAC